RNAcentral lists this non-coding RNA (22 nucleotides) under Mus musculus (house mouse). The record is from RNAcentral. Lineage: Eukaryota; Metazoa; Chordata; Mammalia; Rodentia; Muridae.
UAGCUGCAUAUGUAUCAAAAGA